Molecule: ribosomal RNA, 420 nt
Filed under: Escherichia coli
Lineage: Bacteria; Pseudomonadati; Pseudomonadota; Gammaproteobacteria; Enterobacterales; Enterobacteriaceae
Description: bacterial SSU rRNA
Rfam family: Bacterial small subunit ribosomal RNA
Source: RNAcentral
UUAAAUUGAAGAGUUUGAUCAUGGCUCAGAUUGAACGCUGGCGGCAGGCCUAACACAUGCAAGUCGAACGGUAACAGAAAGCAGCUUGCUGCUUUGCUGACGAGUGGCGGACGGGUGAGUAAUGUCUGGGAAACUGCCUGAUGGAGGGGGAUAACUACUGGAAACGGUAGCUAAUACCGCAUAACGUCGCAAGACCAAAGAGGGGGACCUUCGGGCCUCUUGCCAUCGGAUGUGCCCAGAUGGGAUUAGCUAGUAGGUGGGGUAACGGCUCACCUAGGCGACGAUCCCUAGCUGGUCKGAGAGGAUGACCAGCCACACGGNAACUGAGACACGGUCCAGACUCCUACGGGAGGCAGCAGUGGGGAAUAUUGCACAAUGGGCGCAAGCCUGAUGCAGCCAUGCCGCGUGUAUGAAGAAGGC